UGCGCGGCCUUGCCCCACGAUCCCCCGACAAGGGCGUCACUUCCCCGCUAAAGAAUCCCACGCUCUGUCCCCGUCCCCGCUGCUGCCUGUCUGCCCCGUGUCACGCUGUCCCCUCCGUGGGGCACCUCGCAGGGACUCCUGGGAAGACCGAAGCAUGUGCAGCCCUCUCUUCUGGGGACCCCCAGUGACCUGAGGUGGAGCCUUCAGACAGGCCCAGGAGACAGGAGGGAAACCGAGGCAUGGGAGCGCAUCCUGUCGUGUCUGCAGUGCUGGAGAGGACGUCACUGUGAGCAGCUCCAAGCGCCAGAGCCUCCGAGGCUCCGGCAGAGCCAGGCUGGUGGUGAGGGCUACAGACCGCCGGCCCAGACUUCAGGAACACACCAUCCCUCUGGGCUGAGACUGCAGGUCUGUGAUCCGGGCAUUCGCAGAGACUGAGAGCAGCGUCCCCACUCUGUCCUGGCCAUCAGCAGCAUCUCAGCCUUCAUGUGUACGGUGUCCCCAGAGUCUGCAGAG
Molecule: long non-coding RNA, 513 nt
Filed under: Heterocephalus glaber (naked mole-rat)
Lineage: Eukaryota; Metazoa; Chordata; Mammalia; Rodentia; Bathyergidae
Description: lncRNA (ENSHGLG00000034636.1)
Source: RNAcentral